GUGAGCACAUAUACUAAAAUUGGAACGAUACAGAAGAUUAGUAUGGCUCUGCACAAGGAUGACAUGCAAGUUCGUGAAGCUUUCAUGUUUUUA
Molecule: small nuclear RNA, 93 nt
Filed under: Moschus moschiferus (Siberian musk deer)
Lineage: Eukaryota; Metazoa; Chordata; Mammalia; Artiodactyla; Moschidae
Source: RNAcentral